AGACUUUGGGCUGAAUAAUUAAUCCAAUUUCUUAAACAUGGAUUUUGAGUCGAUAGUAACUAUGAAAGGAUAUGAGUAGACCCUCAAGUUGUUCUUCGUGCUUAAAUUUGCCUAAUAAAGCGAAUUACAAUAUAGCAUGACCAAAAUAAAAUGAAAUAAUUUAAUUUUAAACUUAUCCCCGAGGGUUCAUCAAAAUUAAAUUAAAUUACAAGAAAAUAAUCAAAUAAAUACAAGCAAAUAAAGCAAAAUAUGAGAAUUGGGACCCUUUUUAGCCCAUUUUCUAUUCUGUCCAGCAUUGGGCCCAUUUUAAUGGACCUUUUUUCAACCCUUUUUCCAGCUGUAUAUCCUCUGUAAAUCAACUUUCUUUAUCCUUGCAUUUUCCCGUGUAUAUGCGGUAUAUGUAUGUAUAUGAAUCCAUAUAUUUGCUUCCAACUUCAUUAUGGUGUAUAGCUUCUACGUCACAAUGUAUAUAAAUCGUAUAUAAGUGUAUAGCAGCCUAUUCCAUGUAUAUUUGAUGUAUAUCUGCGUAUUUAGUGUAUACCAACCCCUUUAGACUUGGUUUUGAAGCAUAGACUCAAAAGAUUAGAGCCUUCUUUGUCCUUUAAGGAGAUGUGGGGGAGUUUAGAGUCCCGUGGACUCAUGAGGAGUAUUCAUGCAAUGAAAAGGAGAUAAGAAAUUAGCAAUAAGCAAAAGAACUAAACAACAUCGAACUAAGAACAACCAUAUACUAAGUCUCAACUCAAAAAACCAUUCAAGAGCAUUUCAAGUGCACAUUAAAGAUAAGUCAUAAUUUUAAAUGUUUAAAGAAACCUCUAAUGGUCCCAAGCCGGGGGUCUAUCAGAAACAACCUUUCUACUUCUCUUGAGGUAGUGGUAUGGUCUGCGUACACUCUACCCUCCCCAGACCCCACUAGGUGGGAAUACACUGGGUAUGCUAUUGUUGUUGUUGUAAAGAAACCUCUAAUGACCUACAUAUGAUAAGUAGCAUUACCACAUAGCUAUUAAACAUGUUUUAAACUAACCAAAUGGUAACCUUAGAUUUACAAUAAGAAAUAUGUUUAGGCUAUUGGAAUGAAUUGCUACCCCCUAAACUUAGUGACUAGAAAAAUGAUCAUGUCAAUCGCACCAAAUUAGUUUGAACUAACCAAUUAUCAUCUAUCAAUUAUUUUACACACACAUAUUGAGACUACAUCAAUUGAAACCAACGAUGUUCAACAUAUACAUAAUUUAAAAUAGGAAUAAGAAAAUUAGAUUCGCACAAAGGUAAUUUAGGCAAAAAGUACAUUAGGUCCAUGUAAACAAAAUGCGAGAACGAACAUACAUAACUUAGCCACUGCAUAAUUAUUCGAGUGAACAUUUAGCAUGUUAGUCUCAACACGAGAGAACAAAGCAAAUUAUGAAGUCGCUUUACGAACUCAAGCACCACAGUUACAUAGAUGUAGAUAAAAAUGCCAAAACAGGUUCAAACAAGCGCACAUUAACAUCAAGACUAGGUAUGAGACAAAACUCUUCACCUAUUAAGUAAAAAAUUUAAAAGAUAUUAGUACAAGUAUGAAUAUCAAAAUCAUUCAAAGCACCAACAAAUAAACAAGACUAGCUAGCCCAUACAUUAACAAAUUAUAUGUUUUCAAACUUAGUCAUUCCCCAGCAAAUAAUAUUUAGACGAACAAUGGAUUGAACUAUAAUAACAACAUUUGAACUAUAAUAACAACAUGAAACUAUGGAAUUUAAAGAAUUAGAAUUAUGAAACUAAGCAUUCAAAUAAACCAGUAUGGCAAGAUAUAUCGAUUCAACAGGCAACAUAACCACACGCAAAUUCUGUGACCAUUGAGGCUUUUAUAGCAAAUAGUCCCUCCAUUAAUAUGCUUACGAAUAAUAUGAAUAAAUAUGAAGAAGAAAAGAGGACAACGAAGAAGAGAUAACAAACGAAUAAUAUGAAUAAAUAUGAAGAAGAAAAGAGGACAACGAAGAAGAGAUAACAAACUAAAAAGAAAAGUGUGUUUACCUUCUUCCGGGCAGUGAAUCGGGACGAUGAGUUCACGAUGACUUCACCAACUUUUUUGAUUCCAAAACAACAAGAAUAUAUAAAAGACUGAGCUAAAAUUCCCAUAACUCCAGGCUAGGGACCGAAGUCCAAAAUCCUAGUCGAGUAAAGAGAAUUCGUAGCCCCUUUGUCGUUCUCAAAAAACCCCCUCCCCAGCGAAUUCGAAGUAGUAUUUAUAGAGGAAACUAAAAAUUAGAAAACUAAUUUUAACGAUGUGGGAGUAGAAAUUCAGGGGUCUUUUGGGGAUUUCAAAUUAGAGAUAAGGUUAGUGAUGUGGAAGCUAGAAUCGUACCAUUCUUGUACGAAUUUACAAUUCAAAAUUCAAACGAGGAUGAGGUAUCAAUAUCGGGUCGGAACAAUCGGGUUCUUGACAGGUUGUUUUGCUGCCUCAGUUACGGGCUGGGGAUUUAGUCGCUGUUAACGUCGAUGUUGACGUUGCUGGAGUAGUUUUUUGCUGCUAACGCCGUCAGUUGAAGUUAUUAUUGUCGUUAUAUUGCUGGGUUUUUUUGUUGAUCGAUAUUAUUGUUGGUUGCUGUUAAAGUUGCUGGCGUUAUGUUAUUGGAUCAGGUCAUGGGGAGAUAGGGGUUAAAAGAAAGAGAAUUGGGUUUGGGCUGAGCUGGUAGCUGGGGUAGAAGGGAUUUUGGGUUGGAGGCCCAAUUUGAGAAUAGAAAAA
RNAcentral lists this long non-coding RNA (2716 nucleotides) under Capsicum annuum. RNAcentral's name for it is "long non-coding RNA (CANN_LNC017485)". The record is from RNAcentral. Lineage: Eukaryota; Viridiplantae; Streptophyta; Magnoliopsida; Solanales; Solanaceae.